UACGUAGGGGGCAAGCGUUGUCCGGAAUCAUUGGGCGUAAAGCGCGUGUAGGCGGUUCGGUAAGUCUGCUGUGAAAGUCCAGGGCUCAACCCUCGGAUGCCGGUGGAUACUGUCGGGCUUGAGUACGGAAGAGGCGAGUGGAAUUCCUGGUGUAGCGGUGAAAUGCGCAGAUAUCAGGAGGAACACCAAUUGCGAAGGCAGCUCGCUGGGACGUUACUGACGCUGAGACGCGAAAGCGUGGGGAGCAAACAGG
Molecule: ribosomal RNA, 253 nt
Filed under: uncultured bacterium
Lineage: Bacteria
Description: partial 16S ribosomal RNA
Rfam family: Bacterial small subunit ribosomal RNA
Source: RNAcentral